This 497-nucleotide ribosomal RNA is filed under the name uncultured bacterium. Its description in RNAcentral is "partial 16S ribosomal RNA". It matches the Rfam family "Bacterial small subunit ribosomal RNA", at positions 28 to 507 of the family's 1533-position model. The record is from RNAcentral.
GAUGAACGCUGGCGGCGUGCCUAAUACAUGCAAGUCGAGCGAACAGACGAGGAGCUUGCUCCUCUGACGUUAGCGGCGGACGGGUGAGUAACACGUGGAUAACCUACCUAUAAGACUGGGAUAACUUCGGGAAACCGGAGCUAAUACCGGAUAAUAUAUUGAACCGCAUGGUUCAAUAGUGAAAGACGGUUUUGCUGUCACUUAUAGAUGGAUCCGCGCCGCAUUAGCUAGUUGGUAAGGUAACGGCUUACCAAGGCAACGAUGCGUAGCCGACCUGAGAGGGUGAUGGGCCACACGGGAACUGAGACACGGUCCAGACUCCUACGGGAGGCAGCAGUAGGGAAUCUUCCGCAAUGGGCGAAAGCCUGACGGAGCAACGCCGCGUGAGUGAUGAAGGUCUUCGGAUCGUAAAACUCUGUUAUUAGGGAAGAACAAAUGUGUAAGUAACUAUGCACGUCUUGACGGUACCUAAUCAGAAAGCCACGGCUAACUACGUG